UGGGGAAUUUUGGACAAUGGGCGAAAGCCUGAUCCAGCAAUGCCGCGUGUGUGAAGAAGGCCUUCGGGUUGUAAAGCACUUUUGUCCGGAAAGAAAUCCUUGGCUCUAAUACAGUCGGGGGAUGACGGUACCGGAAGAAUAAGCACCGGCUAACUACGUGCCAGCAGCCGCGGUAAUACGUAGGGUGCAAGCGUUAAUCGGAAUUACUGGGCGUAAAGCGUGCGCAGGCGGUUUGCUAAGACCGAUGUGAAAUCCCCGGGCUCAACCUGGGAACUGCAUUGGUGACUGGCAGGCUAGAGUAUGGCAGAGGGGGGUAGAAUUCCACGUGUAGCAGUGAAAUGCGUAGAGAUGUGGAGGAAUACCGAUGGCGAAGGCAGCCCCCUGGGCCAAUACUGACGCUCAUGCACGAAAGCGUGGGGGAGCAAAACAGGAUUAGAUACCCUGGUAGUCCACGCCCUAAACGAUGUCAACUAGUUGUUGGGGAUUCAUUUCCUUAGUAACGUAGCUAACGCGUGAAGUUGACCGCCUGGGGAGUACGGUCGCAAGAUUAAAACUUAAAGGAAUUGACGGGGUCAUAGCUG
This 581-nucleotide ribosomal RNA is filed under the name uncultured bacterium. RNAcentral describes it as "partial 16S ribosomal RNA". It matches the Rfam family "Bacterial small subunit ribosomal RNA", at positions 355 to 932 of the family's 1533-position model. The record is from RNAcentral.